RNAcentral lists this unclassified non-coding RNA (219 nucleotides) under Thelephoraceae sp. 'Taylor #7'. RNAcentral's name for it is "ITS2". The record is from RNAcentral. Lineage: Eukaryota; Fungi; Basidiomycota; Agaricomycetes; Thelephorales; Thelephoraceae.
AACACCUCAACUCUCAUGGCUUGCCAUGAUGAGCUUGGACUUUGGGGGUCUUGUUGGCCUGUGAGCCAGCUCCUCUUAAAUGAAUUAGCUUGCCGGUGUUUGGUGGCGUCACGGGUGUGAUAACUAUCUACGCUUGUGGUUUCCCACCAGGUAACCUUCAGCAAUGGAGGUUCCCCGGAGCUUAUAAAUGUCUCUCCUCGGCGAGGACACAUUUUGACC